GUCAGGUGUGAUGUCAUGCACCUUAGUCCCAGCUACUCUGGAGGCUGAGGUGGGAGGAUCGCUUGAGCCAAGGAGUUCUAGGCUGUAGUGUGCUAUGCCAAUGGUGUGUCCACACUCAGUUUGGCAUUAAUAUGAUGACUUCCUGGGAGCAAGUGUUGCCAAAGGAGGGGUAAACCAGCCCAGGUCAGAAAUGGAGCCGGUCAAAACUCCUGUGCUGAUUAGUAGUGGGAUCAAACCUGUGAAUAGCCACUGCACUCCAGCCUGGCAACUUCAUGAGACCUCUUCUCU
This 288-nucleotide signal recognition particle RNA is filed under the name Aotus nancymaae (Ma's night monkey). Its description in RNAcentral is "Metazoan signal recognition particle RNA (ENSANAG00000006081.1)". It matches the Rfam family "Metazoan signal recognition particle RNA". Rfam says of the family: The signal recognition particle (SRP) is a universally conserved ribonucleoprotein. The record is from RNAcentral. Lineage: Eukaryota; Metazoa; Chordata; Mammalia; Primates; Aotidae.